CUUAGCCCUUUCCCUUUCUUAUUUUCCAGAAAAGCGCACCUUUAUUGUUUUAGAAAGGAGAAUAGGGAGGAUUAGCGGUUACUUUUCAUCCUCAUAAACUUGGAACUAUUUCCAACUCUGCAACCCCAAACUAACCCUCACACCCUUGGUCACCCACCCUCAAAUUCAUCCCAGAUUCCUCCAGCACCCCUGCUCCCAUCCGCAAAAGCUCUGAACUCAGCAAGUCACAGGAGGCGACAUCUGUCACUUCAGCCGCCCCAGGCACUUCGCAGGCGCUGCGAACCCUCCCCUAAAGCCUCCCUGGCCGGGUUCAGGCCUUAGAAACCCAGGUCCUACCAGGCCGAAACCAAACUCACCAGCAGACAAAGACGACGAUGGCGAGCCAGAAGUUCUGCGCCUGCGCACUCCUGAGGCGGGUUAGCGUUCCCAGAGGGCCCCUGGCCUCCGCCACGCCGGGCUCCGAACCCGCCAGGACCAACCGAUUUUGGCGGGUCGUCUGCUCUUUUUUUUAACCGUGGACUACAUUUCCCAUUAGUUUCAGUGGUUCGAGUGGCCUUUUCCACGAACUCUUUCUGCCAGAGCUUGUGGGACUGUCUCCCCGGUGGAGGGAUGUAAGCAGGACUCAGCUAAUUCUACCUGCGUUUACCUCCGGGAGAGGGCAGUGGUGUCCCAAUAAUAAGCGCAGCUCGGACAGGGUGGCCCAACGUUAAGAAGGGCUCCUGGGGUCUUCCAGACGCAGUUCGGUGAUGUAGCAACUCCCUGGCCAGCUCGAGCCUGGCGCCCUCAAGUCUUUCGCGGCGCGGCUCCGAACUACAUUUCCCAGAGGGCGCUGGGCCCUUGGCCCCUGCCCCUCCACGCGCGAGCCUUAGUGUCUGAACCGUUCUCUGCAGUUGCAAGCGACGCGUUCCUGGGGAGGCCAAAGAUGGAGUUUACAGCCCGGGGCGGGGACUUAGAACGAGCCUUAAAGCCUGUUGGAAUUGUCUAAGACAGACCAUCAAGUAAGCUGGAAUCUACUCUCUGGAAAUAUCUUCCUUGUACUCCCGAAUUUUCUCCUAUUAAUGUGGCAUAUGGUUCAGUAUAUCUAUGCUAUUUUCUUUUUACAUAUAUACACAAACAUGCACAUGUAUGUAAAUAUAGGUACAUAUAUGUAUAAUGUUUUCAUCUGAAUCAGUUACUUUGUCACAUAUGUGGCCAAUCCAAUAUCCAUUCCCUCUUCUUUAUUGCUAAAAAAGUCCUGACCUUGUUUUAAGAAAAAUAAACAAAAAACUCUGUGUUCUAACUUCUCCUGUAGUUGUAAGCAAAAGUUAUUAGAUUGAGUUUCUCAGAUAAUUCUUAAAAAUGCAAGGUGAGGGCAGGGCCAGACUCAGUAAGCAGGUAUUCUUUUGGCCUUUCGCCACUUUCCAUCUGGAAUGUGGAUGUGGUGCCACAUGUGAAGCAUUGAAGCAUUUAUCUUAAAACCAUGCAUUUACCAUGAAAGGAUGAAUAGGAAGUUUGCUAUAUUAAAUUAAAAUAGAAGAUUUUAAGUUUCUGUUUUGUGAAAGCAAUUUGGCAAAAAAAAAAAAUUCUACCUAUAUAUACAUGAAAUGUGUAGUAGAAUUUUAAUUUUCU
This is a long non-coding RNA of Ictidomys tridecemlineatus (thirteen-lined ground squirrel), 1608 nucleotides long. The record is from Ensembl. Lineage: Eukaryota; Metazoa; Chordata; Mammalia; Rodentia; Sciuridae.